UACGUAGGGGGCAAGCGUUGUCCGGAAUCAUUGGGCGUAAAGCGCGUGUAGGCGGCUUGGUAAGUCUGCUCUGAAAGCCCGGGGCUCAACCCCGGGAGGCGGGUGGAUACUGUCAAGCUCGAGUCCGGAAGAGGAGUGUGGAACUCCUGGUGUAGCGGUGAAAUGCGCAGAUAUCAGGAGGAACACCGGUGGCGAAGGCGACAUCCUGGACCGGUAUUGACGCUGAGGCGCGAAAGCCAGGGGAGCAAACGGG
RNAcentral lists this ribosomal RNA (253 nucleotides) under uncultured bacterium. RNAcentral describes it as "partial 16S ribosomal RNA". It matches the Rfam family "Bacterial small subunit ribosomal RNA", at positions 524 to 776 of the family's 1533-position model. The record is from RNAcentral.